GACGAACGCUGGCGGCGUGCCUAAUACAUGCAAGUCGAGCGGAACUGGGGGAGCUUGCUCCUUCCAGUUUAGCGGCGGACGGGUGAGUAACACGUGGGCAACCUGCCCUGCAGAUCGGGAUAACUCCGGGAAACCGGUGCUAAUAGCGGAUAGUUUGGCGCCUCUCCUGAGGCGCUACGGAAAGACGGUUUCGGCUGUCACUGCAGGAUGGGCCCGCGGGGCAUUAGCUAGUUGGUGGGGUAACGGCCCACCAAGGGGACGAUGCGUAGCCGACCUGAGAGGGUGACCGGCCACACUGGGACUGAGACACGGCCCAGACUCCUACGGGAGGCAGCAGUAGGGAAUCUUCCGCAAUGGACGCAAGUCUGACGGAGCAACGCCGCGUGAGUGACGAAGGUUUUCGGAUCGUAAAACUCUGUUGUGAGGGAAGAACACGUACCAACUAACUAUUGGUACCUUGACGGUACCUCACCAGAAAGCCACGGCUAACUACGUGCCAGCCGCCGCCGUAA
RNAcentral lists this ribosomal RNA (512 nucleotides) under uncultured bacterium. RNAcentral's name for it is "partial 16S ribosomal RNA". It matches the Rfam family "Bacterial small subunit ribosomal RNA", at positions 28 to 523 of the family's 1533-position model. The record is from RNAcentral.